ACUCAAAGGAAUAGACGGGGAAACGCACAACCAGCGUCCCAUGUGGUUUAAUUCGAGACGAAACGAAGAACCUUACCCAGGUUUGACAUGUAUCUGCGCGCCUUAGGAAACUAGGGAAGCCUUCGAGGGAGAUACACAGCUGCUGCAUGGUUGUCGUCAGUUCGUGUCGUGAGGCGUCUGUUUAAGUACAGUAACGAACGCAACCCCUGCUGUAUGUUGCAUUUUCAUACAGGACUGCCCUGGUUAUACCAGGGAGGAAGGAGGGGACGACGUCAAAUCAGCAUGGCGCUUACACCUGGGGCGACACACAUGGGGUAAUGGAGGGUACAACGGGUUGCUAAACUGCAAAGUGGAGCUAAUCCUAAUAAAGCCCUCCUCAGUACGGAUCGUGGUCUGCAACUCGACCACGUGAAGGGGAGUUGGUAGUAAUCGCGGGUCAGCCAUACCGCGGUGAAUACGUUCUCGUUUCUUGCACACACCGCCCGU
RNAcentral lists this ribosomal RNA (486 nucleotides) under uncultured bacterium. Its description in RNAcentral is "partial 16S ribosomal RNA". It matches the Rfam family "Bacterial small subunit ribosomal RNA", at positions 899 to 1397 of the family's 1533-position model. The record is from RNAcentral.